This 951-nucleotide long non-coding RNA is filed under the name Struthio camelus australis. RNAcentral describes it as "lncRNA (ENSSCUG00000009492.1)". The record is from RNAcentral. Lineage: Eukaryota; Metazoa; Chordata; Aves; Struthioniformes; Struthionidae.
CGUGAUUUCAGCGCCCAGCCUGAGAUCCCCAUAGCUAGCACUAACCGCAUACUGCAUUUAUUGAUCAUCAGCCACGUGCAGCCCUUAGCUGCAGCCUGGGGUGCAGCCAGCCCACCGGAGGUGGACUCCACACCCCUGUGGGCCAGGGACAGGGAGGGAAAGCAAGGGCUAAACUAUAUUUUACUCCUCUGGCUCCAUCUGCCCUGCUUUACCCGCUUUGCCUGCAGCCUCAUGAAAUGGGAGAAGAGCAAGGCAUUGCAGCAGCUCCCCCUUCCGUGCUCGCUGAGGAUGCCCAUGCUUUCCUCUGCGUGGGGACCUUCCAGACCCCCGCGGGCUUUUCUGCCCUCGGGGAACAGGAAAGAGAUGAUCGGAGAAGCAGGGAGUCUGCAUAGCAGGGUGAAGAGACCUGCACUGCAUAGCCUCGUGGGGGACAGUACAUGGGAUGAAAGCUGCGCGGAUAAGUUGUGGUGGCUGUGGAACACGGCAUAUGGAGAGAGGCUGUUACCCAUGACUCGCUGCGUAGCCACACGCAUCCACCGCAGCUGCUGGACAAAGGAACUUUUGAGAUAUCAUUUUAAAUAAGUUUGUAACCUGGAAUUUGUACACGCAGCUGAGGUUCUAUGUCCAAUGAAGUCAAUGGGAGACUGAUAUCAACAAGGCGACCAUUUCAUCUUGGGAAGGCUUACACAGAUGUUUCACCUGACGCAUUUUCUUUAAUUGAGACUUGUUUAAAGUUGAGAAUGUGCACAAGUCUGCAAGGUCUGACAUCCCUCAACAAGGGAAAAGAAGAGGGAAAUAGGCUUCCAAAUGAAGUAUUAGACAAUACCUAAUGUGAAAUCAUUUGGGAUCUCUGCUGUUCCUUGAUUAUGGUUUGUUCUGGUACUAGAACUGGAGGCUGUUUCUGAAGGAGCAGUAUCAGUAGAGAAGUUUUAUUGCUCAGCAGGCAACAAA